AACGAACGCUGGCGGCAUGCCUAACACAUGCAAGUCGAACGAGACCUUCGGGUCUAGUGGCGCACGGGUGCGUAACGCGUGGGAACCUGCCUUUAGGUUCGGAAUAACUCAGAGAAAUUUGAGCUAAUACCGGAUGAUGUCUUCGGACCAAAGAUUUAUCGCCUUUAGAUGGGCCCGCGUUGGAUUAGCUAGUUGGUGGGGUAAAGGCCUACCAAGGCGACGAUCCAUAGCUGGUCUGAGAGGAUGAUCAGCCACACUGGGACUGAGACACGGCCCAGACUCCUACGCGAGGCAGCAGUGGGGAAUAUUGGACAAUGGGCGAAAGCCUGAUCCAGCAAUGCCGCGUGAGUGAUGAAGGCCUUAGGGUUGUAAAGCUCUUUUACCCGAGAUGAUAAUGACAGUAUCGGGAGAAUAAGCUCCGGCUAACUCCGUG
RNAcentral lists this ribosomal RNA (433 nucleotides) under uncultured bacterium. RNAcentral describes it as "partial 16S ribosomal RNA". It matches the Rfam family "Bacterial small subunit ribosomal RNA", at positions 29 to 507 of the family's 1533-position model. The record is from RNAcentral.